RNAcentral lists this ribosomal RNA (469 nucleotides) under uncultured bacterium. RNAcentral describes it as "partial 16S ribosomal RNA". It matches the Rfam family "Bacterial small subunit ribosomal RNA", at positions 28 to 507 of the family's 1533-position model. The record is from RNAcentral.
GAUGAACGCUGGCGGCGUGCUUAACACAUGCAAGUCGAACGGUGAACCCGGAGUUUGCUCUGUGGGUAGAGUGGCGCACGGGUGUGACACACGUGAGCACCCUGCUUCUGACUGUGGGAUGAGCGCUGGACUCGGCGUCUUAUUCUGGAUGUGUGCCGUGCGCGCGUGGUCUGCGUUUGGGAUGAUUUUUCGGUUGGGGAUGGGCUCGCGGCCUAUCAGCUUGUUGGUGAGGUAAUGGCUCACCAAGGCGACGACGGGUAGCCGGCCUGAGAGGGUGACCGGCCACACUGGGACUGAGACACGGCCCAGACUCCUACGGGAGGCAGCAGUGGGGAAUAUUGCACAAUGGGCGCAAGCCUGAUGCAGCAACGCCGCGUGAGGGAUGACGGCCUUCGGGUUGUAAACCUCUUUUAGCAGGGAAGAAGCGAGAGUGACGGUACCUGCAGAAAAAGCGCCGGCUAACUACGUG